UACGUAGGGGCCGAGCGUUGUCCGGAGUUAUUGGGCGUAAAGCGCGCGCAGGCGGCUUCGCGCGCCCGACGUGAAAGCCCCCGGCUUAACCGGGGAGAGUCGUUGGGGACGGCGGAGCUUGAGGGCGGGAGAGGUCGGUGGAAUUCCCGGUGUAGUGGUGAAAUGCGCAGAUAUCAGGAGGAACACCGGUGGCGAAGGCGGGUCUCUGGGCCGAUACUGACGCUGAGGAGCGAAAGCGUGGGGAGCGAACAGG
This 253-nucleotide ribosomal RNA is filed under the name uncultured bacterium. RNAcentral describes it as "partial 16S ribosomal RNA". It matches the Rfam family "Bacterial small subunit ribosomal RNA", at positions 524 to 776 of the family's 1533-position model. The record is from RNAcentral.